Molecule: ribosomal RNA, 253 nt
Filed under: uncultured bacterium
Lineage: Bacteria
Description: partial 16S ribosomal RNA
Rfam family: Bacterial small subunit ribosomal RNA
Source: RNAcentral
UACAGAGGUCCCAAGCGUUGUUCGGAUUCACUGGGAGUAAAGGGGGCGUAGGCGGUUGGGUAAGUCUGACGUGAAAUCUUCAAGCUUAACUUGGAAACUGCGUCGGAUACUAUUCGGCUAGAGGAAUGGAGGGGAGACUGGAAUACUUGGUGUAGCAGUGAAAUGCGUAGAUAUCAAGUGGAACACCAGUGGCGAAGGCGAGUCUCUGGACAUUUCCUGACGCUGAGGCACGAAAGCCAGGGGAGCAAACGGG